AGCGUAGACGGCUGUGUAAGUCUGAAGUGAAAGCCCGGGGCUCAACCCCGGGACUGCUUUGGAAACUAUGCAGCUAGAGUGUCGGAGAGGUAAGUGGAAUUCCCAGUGUAGCGGUGGAAUGUGUAGAUAUCGGGAAGAACACCAAUGGCGAAGGCAGGUCUCUGGGCCGUUACUGACGCUGAGGAGCGAAAGCGUGGGAGCGAACA
RNAcentral lists this ribosomal RNA (206 nucleotides) under uncultured bacterium. RNAcentral describes it as "partial 16S ribosomal RNA". It matches the Rfam family "Bacterial small subunit ribosomal RNA", at positions 568 to 774 of the family's 1533-position model. The record is from RNAcentral.